Molecule: long non-coding RNA, 1104 nt
Filed under: Anser brachyrhynchus (Pink-footed goose)
Lineage: Eukaryota; Metazoa; Chordata; Aves; Anseriformes; Anatidae
Description: lncRNA (ENSABRG00000017458.1)
Source: RNAcentral
AUGGAAGCGGGUAAUGGUGCAAUUAAUGGAAAAGCCAUUAGACCUUUCUCCUCCUCCCCCUCCUCUUCCUCACUCAGCCACUUGCUGUCCUCCUCCACUUCCACCUCCUUUCUUCUCUCCCUCUCCCCGCUCCUCCUCUCUCUCCUCUCAAAGAUUUCUCCCUAUUUUUGUCUGGUUAGAGCCUUUUCUUUUCCUUUUAACCCUACAGUUCCCCGGAGGGAAACUACAUCGGCCUCGUCAGCCCACGGCAACGCCUUCCGUGGCCACCCAGAGCCCCUGCUGCCGGGGCCCUUCUCCUCCUGCAAAAAUGACCAGAAAUGGGGUAAAACCCCAAAUGGGGGGCAGAAACUGGGCAGCUGCAAGGCUGGAGGUGGGGGUGCUGGCAGCAAGGCGUGCUUAGGGGGAAACCUUUCCCCCGAGGCCUCGGAUCUCGUUACUCCACUUUUAUUGCCCUUUUUCAUUUUUUUUCCCCCUUUUUUAAACCAAGGGCUCCCCUUGUGGCGUGUUUCAGGCCAAGCCGCUCUCCCCACAGAGGGGGUGACCCCCGGGUGCCGGCGAUCGGGGUCAGGCCCCCCCGGGGGACCCUGCUGCUGGCGGGGCGGUUCGGGGACCUGGGGACCUGCCACGGUUUCGCUGCCUUCUCCUGACACACUUCUGCUCCAUCCGCUGCCGCCCGCCCCGGUCUGCACCAGCCCGUCCCCACCCCCCCGCAGCCCCCCAGGGACGCUGCUGCAGGGCACCGGCAGGGCCUGGAUUUUUUUUUUUUNUUUAAUUUUUUUUUUUCGGGGGUGGGGGGGGAGCAGUUGCUGGGGCGACGGCAUCCUCCUGCAGCAUGGAAACCCAGGUUUCCAUGGAAACCCUUUUUGCCCCAGUUAUCCUGCCACCGCCACGUCCUUCAAUUUGCCUUCGGGGUUUGCAUUUUGGAUUUGCCCCCCGCCCCGUCCCCGCAGAGGUCGCGGGACCCCCGGGCAGCCCCCCCGGGGCCGGGUCCCCCAUCGGGGCCUCGGUCCCCAGGGCGGGCGGCGGGUUUGGGAUGCAGUUGCCCAGGCAACAGAAGCAGGGCGUUCCUGGCAGCGGUGGUCGCCAUGGGGACGGGGAUGCUGA